This is a long non-coding RNA of Homarus americanus (American lobster), 6355 nucleotides long. RefSeq lists it as uncharacterized. The record is from RefSeq and is a predicted model, not a curated record. The transcript has 2 exons. NCBI's taxonomy places the organism in Eukaryota, Metazoa, Arthropoda, Malacostraca, Decapoda, Nephropidae.
CAGUAACGCUUAACGGUUUUCACUCAGUCACGCUAUGGCGCUCACUGCGUUUGUGUUUGUUGUGUUGUGUUUGUGGGUUGUGUUUGUGGAUUGUGGUUGUGUGUUGUGUUUGUUGGUUGUGCUUUGUGUUACCCGUCAGUGGUGGUGUUAAACGGUUUUCACUCAGUCACGCCAUGGCGCUCACAAUACAUUACACACAAUCACAAACACAGCGAGAGUCAUGGUGUGACUGGGUGAAAACCGUUAAGCGCUACUGACGGGUAACGUGAUACCUGAUAACUCCGGGAUCACGUCACGUCUUUGUGUAACAUUAGGCUACAUUUACGCAAUAUAUUGGGUCCUUAACUAAUGUAGUUUUUAGGGUAAGGGGAAUAUUUAGGAUUCUUGAAUAAAAAAAUCAUCCUGUACUUUUAGGUUACGUCUUUGUGUGAUUUUGUCUAUAGAAUUGGAAUAAAUUCUAUCAUAUAUAAAUUGUAUAUUUUUUUAUUACUUAUUUGUCUUAUUCAUUAACACCAUUUUGUUAUAUCCCUUUGCCUCUUAUUUCUAUUACUAACCUAACCUUGUCAAUAUCUCAUUUUUCUAUCAGUUAUCUAUAACAAUCGAUCACAACUAAAAAAAAAAAGAAAAACAACUGAAGUUGAAGCUUUUGCAUCAACAGGCUUCAAGUACGUCAUUAUUUUCUAAAUCUGAAAUACGUUUAAUCAACUCUGUUUACCCUCAAUGUUCACCUUCUCACAAACGAUGACAACAAAUUAUCAAUACGACAUUUACCCUAAUUUGCAUACAAGUGAUAAUGAGAAACUUUACCCUAAAUACGCAAUUUCCUACAAGACACUAAAGCUACAACUCUACAAGAUGGCUAUAUAUACAUAUUUCUCCCAGUCUCGACUACUUCACUCAUCAACUCAAGACAUAUUCAAUUCAUCAACUCAUCAACCCAUUAACACACUAUUCAACUGUUAAGAUUACUACGAAAUACUUUUCUUUCAACACAAACACAUCAACUUAACACACUUACAAAUCAUUGAAAUUGAGAACUUUUUUUUUUUUUUUACUUUUUCGUUUUAUUAUUAUUUCAAGUUGUUUAUUCUUCCGCUAUAAUCCUCUCGUUUUCUUUAUUUCAAUUUAUCAUUUUCUUUAAUACUUUCUUAUUUUCUUAUCGGCAUUUCUCUUUUUCUCUGUAUAUUUCCUUCGGCUGUUUUUUUUUAUUCUAAUAUGCAUAAAUCCUUGAGCACUCACACACUCAUCCUAACACAACCGGAAACACAGUCAAACCUUCAUUACUAUUACAAUGAUAAUUCUAAAUAGCUCAGUAAUAUGUCUAAAUUGGGGGGUUAUGGUUUAUGUCUGAACUUGUCUAGAGAUCAAUCAAUAUUUUGGUUUAUUUUAAUGGGUUUAUGUCUUAAGAGAUGAUACUGUUUUGUUUUUUAGUCUGUUUAGAGACACUUGGUCUGUCUGGACAAAAAAUAAGUCUAUACAGUAGGUGUAAUUCAAAGUCUUAUUUUAAAUGGCUUAUAUAUAUAUAUAUAUAUAUAUAUAUAUAUAUAUAUAUAUAUAUAUAUAUAUAUAUAUAUAUAUAUAUAUAUAUAUAUAUAUAUAUAUAUAUAUGACUUAAAGCUAUCUGUAAACCGUAAAAAAAAUUCUUCCUUGGGUUUGUUUGAAACAAGUCCUCCAACUCAUAUUAUGUAUUUCUCCUUAUGGCUAUGGCUAAGACAUUCGGUCGAUUUAUGUCUAAUUGUAAAUACCAGCUCGAUGUAACACUCCUUAUGGCUGGUGUAUGUCUAAUUACGAAUCCCAGCUCGAUGUAACAUUACUUAUGGCUGGUGUAUGUCUAAUUAUGAACACCAGCACGAUGUAACACUCCUUAUGGCUGGUGUAAGUCUGAUUAUGAAUCCCAGCACGAUGUAACACUCCUUAUGGCUGGUGUAUGUAUAAUUAUGAAUCCCAGCACGGUGUAACACUCCUUAUGGCUGGUGUAAGUCUGAUUAUGAAUCCCAGCACGAUGUAACACUCCUUAUGGCUGGUGUAAGUCUGAUUAUGAAUCCCAGCACGAUGUAACACUCCUUAUGGCUGGUGUAUGUCUAAUUAUGAAUCCCAGCACGAUGUAACACUCCUUAUGGCUGGUGUAUGUCUAAUUAUGAAUCCCAGGACGAUGUAACACUCCUUAUGGCUGGUGUAUGUCUAAUUAUGAAUCACAGCACGAUGUAACACUCCUUAUGGCUGGUGUAAGUCUGAUUAUGAAUCCCAGCACGAUGUAACACUCCUUAUGGCUGGUGUAAGUCUGAUUAUGAAUCCCAGCACGAUGUAACACUCCUUAUGGCUGGUGUAUGUCUAAUUAUGAAUCCCAGGACGAUGUAACACUCCUUAUGGCUGGUGUAUGUCUAAUUAUGAAUCACAGCCUGAUGUAACACUCCUUAUGGCUGGUGUAUGUCUAAUUAUUAUGAAUCCCAGCACGAUGUAACACUCCUUAUGGCUGGUGUAUGUCUAAUUAUUAUGAAUCCCAGCACGAUGUAACACUCCUUAUGGCUGGUGUAAGUCAAACUUGAUGUGUUUUAUGUGUGAAGUCAUGGCAGUUGUUUAUUUAAAUGAGAACUGCAAACUCAUCGUUAUGUAUGAAGUAUGUCUAGCUCAGUGUUUUGAUUUCGCCUUAAUAUAUGUCUAAAUGUUCGUGUUAUGUCUGAUAAUUUUGUAGGUUUAUGUCUAUUAAAUCUUUGGUAUCUGAAUAUUUCUCUGCAACUGUUUUCUUUUUUUUUUAAGUCUGUAGUCUCCUGUGUAUCCGAUGUAUGACUGAUGUCUGGUUUAUCUUUAGUAGUUAAUUAUUUUAGAAUGACUGGUUUAGGUCUAAUAAUCUGGUUUAUUUCUGACUGUUUCUCUAGAAAUGGCUAGUUUAGGUCUGAAUCGGUAUGUCUAUUUGAUGUUCUUGGCUAAAUUAAGAAUACCAAUUGACAUGUCUUUGGAUCAUGUCUUUCUCUCUAUCCCUCUAACCUAAAUUGGUAUAAUCAUUUUUUGCUUACCAUUCUGCAAUUAGGUGAUUUAUGUCUAAAUUAUGUCUUUGACUUCAACCCGAUCGUUUCAUUGUCUUUUUUAUGUCUGACGAUUUCUGGAAUGUCUUAACAGCUCAAUGGUCUAUUCGUGAUGGCUGUUAAAUUAUCUACAUGGCUGUUAUAUGUCUGUGGGGUGUCUGUGAGCCAGUUGGAUGAUGCAGUUUUAAGUCUGAUAAUAUCCACUAAAAUGUCUUUUGUCAAUUCUUAUGGCUUACUUUACAACCUGCCCAUGUCUGUUCCCAAAUCCUCAGGAAGAUUCUUAACAUUAAGUUUUACAUUAACAUUCAUCCCAAGUUUCUGUUUACUACAAAGACCAACCCGUGUUCUCACUCUCCUCCGGUAGCAUCUGUACACACCAGCUGGAUAAUACAACAAACUGUCAAAACAUUCACGACUUAGCUCUCUAGUCCUUGGCAAAAUACCUAGCAAAACUGAUCAAUAAUUCCUGUAUCAUUCUUCACAUCAUUUCCUAAAACCAUUUUUUGUAAUAUAUCGAUGGAAUUCAUUCAUUCUUUACUAAUUGCAAGUCGUACUGUACUGCCAUUCAUAGAGUCGUCAUUCUCUAAUCGUAUAAGUCGUUCUACCAUUCAUAUGCUCAUAUAAUGUUUAGUCACACUGUAUAAUUGAUGGAAACAUGUCCGACUGUUAUUCUUAAUCUUUCUUGUAUUCAAAUAUUUCUGUUAAAGUUUAAUAUCCAUAUCAACACCUUUAACUAUUUCUGUGGUAUAUCUGUCUCCAAAAUUAAUGGCAUUCGUAUCUCUACAAGCUUCUUAGUUUUCUUUUACGAUAGUUUAUUGUUCAUUAUAAUGACGGCUAAAAUACAGUGAUUUGCAAACAAAAAAUCGGUUUCAAACGAAUAGAUAUAAUUUUUGGCGCCGAAAACUAAUUUCCUGGAUUUUUUUAUUAUUUAAUAUGUAGUGAAUUAGACAGAAAAACACUACGUCAGUUGAGUUAGGCGAGGGAGGACGCCAUGUUUGUUUACAUCAGCCAGCAGACAACAUGAACCAGGUCAGCUAAGAUUACAUGAACCAGGUCAGCUAAGAUUAAGUUAUGUUGCUUCAUUUCGUCUGCUGUCAUAAAUAAACCGGAUCUACUAACAGCGUCCACCAGGCACCACUCAGCUCAGGUGGUGUUUAUCUGAAGUUCACUGUGAUUGGUGAAUGAUGUUGAUUUCCGUCGAUUAUUUCAAUGUUUAUUUCCGUCUUUAUGUAGUCAACUUGCCUGCAUCAAUCACCCACUGACGUCUACCAUUAACAAAAUUGGCAUAAAACUUCUCCAAUAUGUUGAGACAAACUCUGUCUGGUAUCUUUUCUCUUCUGCUAUUUUGAGCAACAAAUCGUAACUUCUGAACCAGUCCCUUCAACCUUUACAUCCGUCUUUAUUUUUUGUCCUCCUCUCUAUCAUUAACUCUACCUAAUCUAAUAAGUGAAAUAUUUAAACAGUUGAUAUAAGGUAAAAAUCAAUUAGUCAAGCACUUUAGACAGGAAACGAUUAUUUGUUCAAGCACUUUAGACAGGAAACGAUUAUUUGUUCAAGCACUUUAGACAGGAAACGAUUAUUUGUUCAAGCACUUUAGACAGGAUUACACUAAUGCCAAUAAAAGACAAGACAGUCACUCUACAACAGCUACACACAAACGACGUAAACAAGCCUCACGCCAUUUCUCUCCACGGGAUAACAAAACCAUAGUUCUGGUCCGAGAUUUUCACAAGUCAUGGCGGUCUGAACAGCCUGGCACCAUUGUCGGUCGUCGCCCACUAUUGUCGUUGAGAUGUUUCUUGCCGGUCUUGACUACGUAAUCAAAGAACGAGAUCAAUAUAACGGUAUCAUUCGAGGUCUUAAACUGCCUUACUAACUUUCUCAAUCCUCUUUGUUUUAAUACGUUUCUUGUACUAACCUAAAUCCCAUCCUUUUACCCCUCAAUAAAAAACAGCAAAAACAUUCACAAUUUGAUAAACUUGAGCUUAAAAAAAAGGAUUAAAUAUAUACCCUGUUUUAAUAAAAGUGAACAGUGAUAUGGGCGCCUUUUCUCUGAAGAUUUUUAUUCUUUUUUAAAUAUCAAUUUUUUUUUUUAAGUAUCGGCACGGUAUGAUGUAUUAAUUGGUCUUUGGUAUUAUUACGAAGGUUUGUCAUACAGUCAUGGGCACACACACUCUCUCCUUAUCAUUAUUAUUAGUUCAUAACUCACACCGAUAGUACAACCAAAACUACCAUUAUAAAAAAAAGGAGAUACAAAAGUCCAUCCAUACUUCUCUUCUUUGGCUUCUAUCAAAAAAAGUAUCAAAAAACAAAAAAUAAUACUUUCAUCAUCCGUUGCCGUUACUUUUACCUAAAUUCUUCAGAUUAGUCAUUUACAAAAAAAAAUCAAUCCAUUAUUAUUUUUUAUUUUUUUUAAAUAUUUCAACAGCGCAAACUUUUCACUAUCAAUUUAAUAAUACUAUAAGCCAACCCUUCAUAUAGCAUUUACAAAACAAACAAAAGAAGUACUAAACGCCGCUUAAACAUCAAAAAAUAAAAGAAAAAAGAAGAAAAUCAGAAAUUACUCGCUAGUCCUCGCUUACAUUCACCAUCGUAAUACUUGAAAUACCAAACACCUAACACAACCAACUUAUCCUCAAGACAACAACAAAUACAAAAAAAAAAUUACAUUACUUUCAUAAUUAUCGUCUAAACAGCAGCUAAGUUUGAGUUUUUUUAAACAUAUGAGUAAACAAGCUAAUGGGAGGUUGGGUAAAUGGGAAAAUGGAAGGUUUGGGAAAUUGGUAGGUGGGGUAAAUAGGUCUAAUGGGAGGUUGGGUAAAUAGGUUAAUGGAUGGUUGGGAAAAUGGGAGAUCUGGUAAAUAGGCUAAUGUAAGGUCGGGUAAAUAGGUUAAUGGAAGGUCAGGUAAAUGGGAAAAUGGUAGGUGGGGUAUAUAGGCUAAUGGAAGGUCGGGUAAAUAGGUUAUUGGAAAGUUGGAUAAAUAGGCUAAUGGGAUUUGUUUGUUAAAUUGCCCCAAUCUCUCUCAGGUUAAUUAGAACACCUUAGAUUAAAAACAUAAAUCCAGCCCCUCGGCAGCCCCACCUUCCAGGGUAUAUAAUCAGAUAUGGCCACCAAUUAAGGCAGGAGAAGUAUUUACCUUUAAAACAAUGAAAAAUGACAAUGUAUAUAAAAACAAAUUGAGACUAUAUCAUAAUGGUAUACACUACAACAGUACCAAUAAAGUGAUGUCAGUAAUAUAGAAAUGCCAACACAUAUAUACACACACAUACACAGUAGGUGAUACAUACGUGUGUGUAUAACGUCGGCGAAGGGAACAAACAACGAAAAGAAA